Molecule: transfer RNA, 73 nt
Filed under: Blastocatellia bacterium
Lineage: Bacteria; Pseudomonadati; Acidobacteriota; Blastocatellia
Also listed under: 1 other name
Description: tRNA-Thr
Rfam family: tRNA
About the family: Transfer RNA (tRNA) molecules are approximately 80 nucleotides in length. Their secondary structure includes four short double-helical elements and three loops (D, anti-codon, and T loops).
Source: RNAcentral
GCCGGUGUAGCUCAGUUGGUAGAGCAGCUGAUUUGUAAUCAGCGGGUCGGGGGUUCAAGUCCCUUCACCGGCU